CCGGGAUUUCUCAGGAGGGCCAUGGCAGCUGGGCUGGGGCGCUGCCGUGGCCCUGAGGCGGCGGCCCCGCGCGCUAACAUGGCGGCAGCGCCUCCGCCCGCUCCCCGGGGCGCCGCCACCGCCGCCCUCCCCGCACAGCCCGGGCACCCGGGCGGGGCUUGAGCUCCCCUCGCCUCGCCAUGGCGCCGGCAAGAAGCCCUCAGUCCCUUCAGGGCUUCCACCGGGCUCCUCGCUGAGCUUCGCCCUCGGCUACCUGGCCUCGGGGCGCGGCGCGGCUCGACACACCCCCGCGGGCGGAGCUCGCCGCAUCCUCGGGGAUCGCCGGGAAAGCCGUACAGCUGCACCAGCAAAUAUGCUCCCUGCAGAGACAUUCCCAGCACAGCCAAGUGUGGGAGACCCUGACGUUGUUGCUUUGAGGCUGAAGACAGUCCCAUCUCUGCUGCUUGGUGCUGUUGGGAAACACUCUUUACUUGCUUACAUAGAGAACUAAGAGAAGGCUAUAGGGAUUUCAUGAGAAGGUAGAUACUUCAACAUGAAUUGGUAAAUGUAAUGUAAAAUAUUAUCUGAAAUGGGAUUUGAGAAAAGCUAAUGGAAAGGUAAGUUCCCAUAUGCAAAAAAAGCACUUUUUUGUUUUUUUCUGUCCUCCAACUGAUACUAAAGCAUGGGGCCUGUAGUCCAACCACUAAUAUCUUUAUUCAGUUUUCCAUUUUCUCUCAAUAGUCCUGUGUGCUCACUGCCACAUCAGUUUUUGUUUGAAGCCGAUUCUAACUUACUCUGGCCAGUAUUUGUAAAUGACAAAUCUAACAUCUCUGCAGAGUAAGGCAGGUGAUUAACCAUGAGCGUGUGGAUACCCAAUUAAGAUAUCUUAUGAUCUUAGUUGACCUUUCUGGUCAUUGUCAGCUGGGGGAUUCAGAGAAAUGCUGCCAACUUAAAAAAAGCUGAUUUAAUUCUGGAAAUAUUAUUAGAUCAAAUAACAGAGUUGAAAAAACUCGACAAGAUUAGAUUUUUUUUAAAUGAUCAACAAUUAGUUUGUUAGAAUUGUGUGUUUAGCACUUGUGAAUGGUCAUUUUUACCAUUUCUCUCAUGAGUUUAGCCACUUUCCGUUAUUGAAAAAGUUCCUUGUAAAUACAGCAAAAGGCAUUGCUUUGGAAAAAGGAAACCUUACAUGAUAGGAGUUGCCAAUAUUUUUUUAAUUUAAGAUAUUUGAACGCUAGAAUAACAUAAUGUAUGUAGCUGUUUAGCAGAUAUAAAUAAGAGUUGCAAAUAACAUAUGUUCAAUUUAGCUGUAGUUAUGCUAAUGGAAAAUAGAAAAUUGGAAAACAUUGAAGGUAAAAAGGUUCAGAAAGAAAAAUAUUAAUUGGAUCGUUCCAGGGGCGUAAUUCAGAAACAAAACUUAGUCACAAAGAUGCCAGCACAAAUAUUUGUUGCUAUUUAUAGGAUUAUUUUUACUAUCCCUCUGUGUUUACUCGCUAUUAAAAAGAUCAAGAUAAUUUGUGUGAAUUACCUUAUAUGGAGUCAGGUGACGUUCUGUGAGGUAAUAAAAGAAGGACUCUGUUCUCCUCA
RNAcentral lists this long non-coding RNA (1563 nucleotides) under Calidris pugnax (ruff). RNAcentral's name for it is "lncRNA (ENSCPUG00000010860.1)". Lineage: Eukaryota; Metazoa; Chordata; Aves; Charadriiformes; Scolopacidae. The record is from RNAcentral.